AGAGUUUGAUCAUGGCUCAGAUUGAACGCUGGCGGCAGGCCUAACACAUGCAAGUCGAACGGUAACAGGAUUAGCUUGCUAAUCGCUGACGAGUGGCGGACGGGUGAGUUAUGCUUGGGAACUUGCCUUUGCGAGGGGGAUAACAGUUGGAAACGACUGCUAAUACCGCAUAACGUCUACGGACCAAACGGGGCAUAGGCUCCGGCGCAAAGAGAGGCCCCAGUGAGAUUAGCUAGUUGGUAAGGUAAAGGCUUACCAAGGCAACCAUCUCUAGCUGUUCUGAGAGGAAGAUCAGCCACACUGGAACUGAGACACGGUCCAGACUCCUACGGGAGGCAGCAGUGGGGAAUAUUGCACAUGGGGGAAACCUGAUGC
This 375-nucleotide ribosomal RNA is filed under the name uncultured gamma proteobacterium 400m-FREE-28. Its description in RNAcentral is "bacterial SSU rRNA". It matches the Rfam family "Bacterial small subunit ribosomal RNA", at positions 8 to 389 of the family's 1533-position model. Lineage: Bacteria; Pseudomonadati; Pseudomonadota; Gammaproteobacteria. The record is from RNAcentral.